RNAcentral lists this ribosomal RNA (470 nucleotides) under uncultured bacterium. RNAcentral describes it as "partial 16S ribosomal RNA". It matches the Rfam family "Bacterial small subunit ribosomal RNA", at positions 29 to 508 of the family's 1533-position model. The record is from RNAcentral.
AAUGAACGUUGGCGGCAUGGAUUAGGCAUGCAAGUCGAGCGCGAAGAGUCAUUUGCUUGCAUUUGACUCUGAAAGCGGCGUAAGGGUGAGUAACGCGUAGUUACCUACCUCCGGGUCCGGAAUAGCUGCGGGAAACUGCAGGUAAUGCCGGAUAACAUCACAGGAUCAAAGGUGAGAUUCCGCCCGGGGAGGGGACUGCGUCCUACUAGCUUGUUGGUGGGGUAAUGGCCUACCAAGGCUUCGAUGGGUAGCGGGCGUGAGAGCGUGGCCCGUCACACUGGGACGGAGAAACUGCCCAGACACCUACGGGUGGCUGCAGUCGAGAAUCUUCGGCAAUGGGCGAAAGCCUGACCGAGCAAUGCCGCGUGCGGGAUGAAGGCCCUCGGGUUGUAAACCGCGAAAGUAAGGAGGAAGGACCUGCGAAGAGCAGGUUUUGGCCGAUCUACAGUAAGGACGGGCUAAGUUCGUGC